UAGGGUGACUGCGGAGGACAUUA
RNAcentral lists this ribosomal RNA (23 nucleotides) under Apophysomyces variabilis. RNAcentral describes it as "partial 18S ribosomal RNA". Lineage: Eukaryota; Fungi; Mucoromycota; Mucoromycetes; Mucorales; Mucoraceae. The record is from RNAcentral.